This 308-nucleotide ribosomal RNA is filed under the name uncultured soil bacterium. RNAcentral describes it as "bacterial SSU rRNA". It matches the Rfam family "Bacterial small subunit ribosomal RNA", at positions 26 to 361 of the family's 1533-position model. The record is from RNAcentral.
AGAACGAACGCUGGCGGCAUGCCUAAUACAUGCAAGUCGAACGAACACUUCGGUGUUAGUGGCGCACGGGUGCGUAACGCGUGGGAAUCUGCCCUUGGGUUCGGAAUAACAGUUGGAAACGACUGCUAAUACCGGAUGAUAUCGAAAGAUCAAAGAUUUAUCGCCCAGGGAUGAGCCCGCGUAGGAUUAGCUAGUUGGUGAGGUAAAGGCUCACCAAGGCGACGAUCCUUAGCUGGUCUGAGAGGAUGAUCAGCCACACUGGGACUGAGACACGGCCCAGACUCCGUACGGGAGGCAGCAGUAGGAUA